RNAcentral lists this long non-coding RNA (207 nucleotides) under Medicago truncatula (barrel medic). Its description in RNAcentral is "long non-coding RNA (MTRU_LNC005728)". Lineage: Eukaryota; Viridiplantae; Streptophyta; Magnoliopsida; Fabales; Fabaceae. The record is from RNAcentral.
AUAUGAUCGUCUUCCAACGUUAUUGUACACUCGCCCAAUGGAAAAAGAAAUGUGUGGGUCUCCGGCCUCCAUCUUUCACAUAACGCGACUAUUAAACGAUUAUCAACGUUAUAUUUGUUUAAAUUAGUAAAGUCCCACAAUCCGGCUGACCUUAAGCUAUCUUCAAUGGUUGGGGGCGCCGGGGAAAUCUUACGAUGACAUCAAACU